UACGAAGGGUGCAAGCGUUGUUCGGAAUCACUGGGCGUAAAGGGCGCGUAGGCGGGUUUAUAAGUCACAUGUGAAAUCCCUAGGCUUAACCUGGGACGUGCAUGUGAUACUGUAAGUCUUGAAUGUCUGAGAGGGAGGCGGAAUUCCAGGUGUAGAAGUGAAAUUCGUAGAUAUCUGGAGGAACAUCCGAGGCGAAGGCGGCCUCCUGGCAGAACAUUGACGCUAAGGCGCGAAAGUGCGGGGAGCAAACAGG
Molecule: ribosomal RNA, 253 nt
Filed under: uncultured bacterium
Lineage: Bacteria
Description: partial 16S ribosomal RNA
Rfam family: Bacterial small subunit ribosomal RNA
Source: RNAcentral